Picea glauca (white spruce) is the source of this 118-nucleotide non-coding RNA. The record is from Rfam. Lineage: Eukaryota; Viridiplantae; Streptophyta; Pinopsida; Pinales; Pinaceae.
AUGUACAUUCCUACAAUGUUAAUGCAAUGGAUCCCAUCAAAACUCCACAUUUGAGCGUUCUUGGGCUAGAUUAGUACUGGGAUGGGUGACCACCCGCGAAUUCCUAGUGUUUUACAUG